This 544-nucleotide ribosomal RNA is filed under the name uncultured bacterium. RNAcentral's name for it is "bacterial LSU rRNA". It matches the Rfam family "Bacterial large subunit ribosomal RNA", at positions 1440 to 1960 of the family's 2925-position model. The record is from RNAcentral.
AGCGCGCGACCCGACCUUGUAGUAGUCAAGCGAUGGAGUGACGCAGGAAGGUAGCCUCCGCGUGGCGAUGGUUGUCCACGUCCAAGGGUGUAGGGCGAGCUGUAGGCAAAUCCGCAGCUCACAUAGCCUGAGACCUGAUAGUGACCGCGAAUGCGGGAAGCAGGGUGAUCCUAUGCUGCCAAGAAAAUCUUCUAGCGAGGUUCGAGCCGCCCGUACCCCAAACCGACUCAGGUGGUUAGGUAGAGAAUACCAAGGCGAUCGAGUGAAUCGUGGUUAAGGAAUUCGGCAAAAUGCCCCCGUAACUUCGGGAGAAGGGGGCCCGGAACCUGAAGUGACGAGCUCACUAGGGUGAAGGGCCGCAGAGACCAGGGAGAAGCGACUGUUUACUAAAAACACAGGUCCGUGCGAAGUCGCAAGACGAUGUAUACGGACUGACGCCUGCCCGGUGCUGGAAGGUUAAGAGGACCGGUUAGACCGCAAGGUCGAAGCUGAGAAUUUAAGCCCCAGUAAACGGCGGUGGUAACUAUAACCAUCCUAAGGUAGC